Molecule: ribosomal RNA, 738 nt
Filed under: Proteus mirabilis
Lineage: Bacteria; Pseudomonadati; Pseudomonadota; Gammaproteobacteria; Enterobacterales; Morganellaceae
Description: partial 23S ribosomal RNA
Rfam family: Bacterial large subunit ribosomal RNA
Source: RNAcentral
GGUUAAGCGAAUAAGCGUACACGGUGGAUGCCUAGGCAAUCAGAGGCGAUGAAGGACGUGCUAAUCUGCGAAAAGCGUCGGUAAGGUGAUAUGAACCGUUAUACCCGACGAUAUCCGAAUGGGGAAACCCAGUAUCCAAUGGAUACUAUCAUUAACUGAAUCCAUAGGUUAAUGAGGCGAACCGGGAGAACUGAAACAUCUCAGUACCCCGAGGAAAAGAAAUCAACCGAGAUUCCCCUAGUAGCGGCGAGCGAACGGGGAGCAGCCCAGAGUCUUAAUCAAUAACAGUGUCAGGAGAACGGUCUGGAAAGUCCGGCAGUAAAGGGUGAUAGCCCCGUAUCUGAAGAUGCUGUUAUUGUGAACUCGACGAGUAGGGCGGGACACGUGUUAUCCUGUCUGAAUAUGGGGGGACCAUCCUCCAAGGCUAAAUACUCCUGAUUGACCGAUAGUGAACCAGUACCGUGAGGGAAAGGCGAAAAGAACCCCGGCGAGGGGAGUGAAAAAGAACCUGAAACCGUGUACGUACAAGCAGUAGGAGCCUCUUUAUGGGGUGACUGCGUACCUUUUGUAUAAUGGGUCAGCGACUUAUAUUCUGUAGCAAGGUUAACCGUAUAGGGGAGCCGUAGGGAAACCGAGUCUUAACUGGGCGAAUGAGUUGCAGGGUAUAGACCCGAAACCCGGUGAUCUAUCCAUGGGCAGGUUGAAGGUUGGGUAACACUAACUGGAGGACCGAACCGA